CCUACGGGUGGCUGCAGUGGGGAAUAUUGGACAAUGGGCGAAAGCCUGAUCCAGCCAUGCCGCGUGUGUGAAGAAGGCCUUCGGGUUGUAAAGCACUUUCAGUUGGGAAGAAAGCCUUGGGGCUAAUACCCGCGAGGAAGGACAUCACCCACAGAAGAAGCACCGGCUAACUCCGUGCCAGCAGCCGCGGUAAUACGGAGGGUGCGAGCGUUAAUCGGAAUUACUGGGCGUAAAGCGCGCGUAGGCGGUCUGAUAAGCCGGUUGUGAAAGCCCCGGGCUCAACCUGGGAACGGCAUCCGGAACUGUCAGGCUAGAGUGCAGGAGAGGAAGGUAGAAUUCCCGGUGUAGCGGUGAAAUGCGUAGAGAUCGGGAGGAAUACCAGUGGCGAAGGCGACCUUCUGGACUGACACUGACGCUGAGGUGCGAAAGCGUGGGUAGCAAACAGGAUUAGAUACCCCAGUAGUC
RNAcentral lists this ribosomal RNA (465 nucleotides) under Vreelandella stevensii. RNAcentral's name for it is "partial 16S ribosomal RNA". It matches the Rfam family "Bacterial small subunit ribosomal RNA", at positions 338 to 795 of the family's 1533-position model. The record is from RNAcentral. Lineage: Bacteria; Pseudomonadati; Pseudomonadota; Gammaproteobacteria; Oceanospirillales; Halomonadaceae.